RNAcentral lists this ribosomal RNA (527 nucleotides) under uncultured Rhodocyclaceae bacterium. RNAcentral describes it as "bacterial SSU rRNA". It matches the Rfam family "Bacterial small subunit ribosomal RNA", at positions 8 to 526 of the family's 1533-position model. The record is from RNAcentral. Lineage: Bacteria; Pseudomonadati; Pseudomonadota; Betaproteobacteria; Rhodocyclales; Rhodocyclaceae.
AGAGUUUGAUCCUGGCUCAGAUUGAACGCUGGCGGAAUGCUUUACACAUGCAAGUCGAACGGCAGCACGGGAGCUUGCUCCUGGUGGCGAGUGGCGAACGGGUGAGUAAUGCAUCGGAACGUACCGAGUAAUGGGGGAUAACGCAUCGAAAGGUGUGCUAAUACCGCAUACGCCCUGAGGGGGAAAGUGGGGGAUUCGCAAGGACCUCACGUUAUUCGAGCGGCCGAUGCCUGAUUAGCUAGUUGGUGAGGUAAAGGCUCACCAAGGCGACGAUCAGUAGCUGGUCUGAGAGGAUGAUCAGCCACACUGGAACUGAGACACGGUCCAGACUCCUACGGGAGGCAGCAGUGGGGAAUUUUGGACAAUGGGCSCMASCCUGAUCCAGCCAUUCCGCGUGAGUGAAGAAGGCCUUCGGGUUGUAAAGCUCUUUCGGCAGGGAAGAAAUCGCGAGGGGUAAUAUCCCUCGCGGAUGACGGUACCUGAAGAAGAAGCACCGGCUAACUACGUGCCAGCAGCCGCGGUAAUAC